RNAcentral lists this ribosomal RNA (265 nucleotides) under uncultured prokaryote. RNAcentral describes it as "partial 16S ribosomal RNA". It matches the Rfam family "Bacterial small subunit ribosomal RNA", at positions 524 to 788 of the family's 1533-position model. The record is from RNAcentral.
UACGGAGGAUCCGAGCGUUAUCCGGAUUUAUUGGGUUUAAAGGGUGCGCAGGCGGGAUGUUAAGUCGGCGGUGAAAUUUUGCAGCUCAACUGUAAAAGUGCCUUCGAAACUGGUUUCCUUGAGUGUAGAUGAAGUAGGCGGAAUUUGUGGUGUAGCGGUGAAAUGCAUAGAUAUCACGAGGAACUCCGAUUGCGCAGGCAGCUUACUAAACUACUACUGACGCUCAUGCACGAAGGCGUGGGGAUCAAACAGGAUUAGAUACCCU